CGCGUAGGCGGUUUGCUCAGUCAGAUGUGAAAGCCCUCGGCUUAACCGGGGACGUGCAUUUGAAACUGGCAGACUUGAGUAUUGGAGGGGGUGGUGGAAUUCCCGGUGUAGAGGUGAAAUUCGUAGAUAUCGGGAGGAAUACCGGUGGCGAAGGCGACCACCUGGCCAAAUAACUGACGCUGAGGUGCGAAAGCGUGGGGAGGCAAAACA
RNAcentral lists this ribosomal RNA (210 nucleotides) under uncultured bacterium. Its description in RNAcentral is "partial 16S ribosomal RNA". It matches the Rfam family "Bacterial small subunit ribosomal RNA", at positions 568 to 776 of the family's 1533-position model. The record is from RNAcentral.